CAAGACGUAGCUAUAACCCCCAAAGCACUCAGCUUACACCUGAGAGAUAUCUGCUAAAACCAGGUCGUCUUGA
This 73-nucleotide transfer RNA is filed under the name Melanitta americana (American black scoter). RNAcentral describes it as "tRNA-Val". The record is from RNAcentral. Lineage: Eukaryota; Metazoa; Chordata; Aves; Anseriformes; Anatidae.